CCUACGGGAGGCAGCAGUGAGGAAUAUUGGUCAAUGGACGAGAGUCUGAACCAGCCAAGUAGCGUGAAGGAUGACUGCCCUAUGGGUUGUAAACUUCUUUUAUAUGGGAAUAAAAUGUUCCACGUGUGGGAUUUUGUAUGUACCCUAUGAAUAAGGAUCGGCUAACUCCGUGCCAGCAGCCGCGGUAAUACGGAGGAUCCGAGCGUUAUCCGGAUUUAUUGGGUUUAAAGGGAGCGUAGGUGGAUUGUUAAGUCAGUUGUGAAAGUUUGCGGCUCAACCGUAAAAUUGCGGUUGAAACUGGCAGUCUUGAGUACAGUAGAGGUGGGCGGAAUUCGUGGUGUAGCGGUGAAAUGCUUAGAUAUCACGAAGAACUCCGAUUGCGAAGGCAGUUCACUGGACUGCAACUGACACUGAGGCUCGAAAGUGUGGGUAUCAAACAGGAUUAGAUACCCGUGUAGUC
Molecule: ribosomal RNA, 460 nt
Filed under: uncultured bacterium
Lineage: Bacteria
Description: partial 16S ribosomal RNA
Rfam family: Bacterial small subunit ribosomal RNA
Source: RNAcentral